RNAcentral lists this transfer RNA (74 nucleotides) under Bacilli bacterium. RNAcentral describes it as "tRNA-Thr". It matches the Rfam family "tRNA". Rfam says of the family: Transfer RNA (tRNA) molecules are approximately 80 nucleotides in length. Lineage: Bacteria; Bacillati; Bacillota; Bacilli. The record is from RNAcentral.
GCUGCAUUAGUAUAAUGGUAUUACGAGGCCAUGGUAAGGCUUUAACGCAGGUUCAAUUCCUGCAUGCAGCACCA